UACAGAGGUCUCAAGCGUUGUUCGGAUUCAUUGGGCGUAAAGGGCGCGUAGGCGGCGGGGUAAGUCGGGUGUGAAAUCUCAGGGCUCAACCCUGAAACUGCACUCGAUACUGCUCUGCUUGAGGACUGGAGAGGAGACUGGAAUUCACGGUGUAGCAGUGAAAUGCGUAGAUAUCAGGAGGAACACCGGUGGCGAAGGCGGGUCUCUGGGCAGUGAACUGACGCUGGAGGAGCGAAAGCCGUGGGGAGCAAACAGG
RNAcentral lists this ribosomal RNA (256 nucleotides) under uncultured bacterium. RNAcentral's name for it is "partial 16S ribosomal RNA". It matches the Rfam family "Bacterial small subunit ribosomal RNA", at positions 524 to 776 of the family's 1533-position model. The record is from RNAcentral.